RNAcentral lists this long non-coding RNA (391 nucleotides) under Nicotiana benthamiana. RNAcentral's name for it is "long non-coding RNA (NBEN_LNC011252)". The record is from RNAcentral. Lineage: Eukaryota; Viridiplantae; Streptophyta; Magnoliopsida; Solanales; Solanaceae.
GGAAGGGUCAAAUGAUGAUUUUGCACUUGAAGGAAUCGGGUUGGGAUCCUCAGGUGCUAUUAAGCUGGGGCUAGGAGACUUCAUAUUCUACAGUGUAUUAGUAGCCAGGGCUGCCAUGUACGAUUUAAUGACGGUUUAUGCAUGCUACCUUGCUAUUAUAGCUGGUCUUGGUAUCACUCUGAUGCUUCUUGCAUUUUAUGUUAGUAGCCAGGGCUGCAAUGUACGAUUUCAUGACAGUUUAUGCAUGCUACCUUGCUAUUAUAGCUGGUCUUGGUAUCACUCUGAUGCUUCUUGCAUUUUAUCAGAAAGCUUUGCCUGCUCUUCCUGUGUCCAUUAUGCUAGGCGUCUCGUUUUACUUAUUAACUCGGCUGUUGCUCGAGAUAUUUGUUGU